This 240-nucleotide ribosomal RNA is filed under the name uncultured bacterium. RNAcentral's name for it is "partial 16S ribosomal RNA". It matches the Rfam family "Bacterial small subunit ribosomal RNA", at positions 94 to 334 of the family's 1533-position model. The record is from RNAcentral.
AGCGGCGGACGGGUGAGUAACGCGUGGGUAACCUGCCUCAUACAGGGGGAUAACAGUUAGAAAUGACUGCUAAUACCGCAUAAGACCACGGUACCGCAUGGUACAGUGGUAGAAACUCCGGUGGUAUGAGAUGGACCCGCGUCUGAUUAGGUAGUUGGUGGGGUAACGGCCUACCAAGCCGACGAUCAGUAGCCGACCUGAGAGGGUGACCGGCCACAUUGGGACUGAGACACGGCCCAG